This is a small nucleolar RNA of Nomascus leucogenys (northern white-cheeked gibbon), 180 nucleotides long. The record is from Ensembl. NCBI's taxonomy places the organism in Eukaryota, Metazoa, Chordata, Mammalia, Primates, Hylobatidae.
ACUUUAUUGUAUAUAAGCACUGUGCUAAAAUUGCAGAAACUGGGACCAUAUCUUGGUUUUUGUAAUAAUGCCAGCAGAGUACACACAAGAAGAAAAGUAACUGCAUUAGAUUGUGAAGACUGGGGUGGACCUGCUUCUGAACGUCCAGUGCCCUUUGUCUUAAGAUUUGGUGUAGUAUAU